This 503-nucleotide ribosomal RNA is filed under the name uncultured bacterium. RNAcentral's name for it is "partial 16S ribosomal RNA". It matches the Rfam family "Bacterial small subunit ribosomal RNA", at positions 30 to 523 of the family's 1533-position model. The record is from RNAcentral.
AUUGAACGCUGGCGGCAGGCUUAACACAUGCAAGUCGAGCGGGGUGAUGGUGCUUGCACUAUCACUUAGCGGCGGACGGGUGAGUAAUGCUUAGGAAUCUGCCUAUUAGUGGGGGACAACAUCUCGAAAGGGAUGCUAAUACCGCAUACGUCCUACGGGAGAAAGCAGGGGAUCACUUGUGACCUUGCGCUAAUAGAUGAGCCUAAGUCGGAUUAGCUAGUUGGUGGGGUAAAGGCCUACCAAGGCGACGGUCUGUAGCGGGUCUGAGAGGAUGAUCCGCCACACUGGGACUGAGACACGGCCCAGACUCCUACGGGAGGCAGCAGGGGGGAAUAUUGGACAAUGGGGGGAACCCUGAUCCAGCCAUGCCGCGUGUGUGAAGAAGGCCUUAUGGUUGUAAAGCACUUUAAGCGAGGAGGAGGCUCUUUUGGUUAAUAUCCAAGAUGAGUGGACGUUACUCGCAGAAUAAGCACCGGCUAACUCUGUGCCAGCCGCCGCAGUAA